Molecule: long non-coding RNA, 676 nt
Organism: Mastomys coucha (southern multimammate mouse)
Lineage: Eukaryota; Metazoa; Chordata; Mammalia; Rodentia; Muridae
Exons: 3
Source: RefSeq, a predicted model, not a curated record
UGCAACCCUGUAGAACAAAGAUGCAUUCAGUAUGGGUCAACUAUGGCUCCUUCCCAGCUGGAGACCUAGAUUAGGUCACCUCCUGCCAUACCUAGCAUGAGGGUUGCUGUCUGUCAGCAGUAACUCCUUUGACUCAUCAUUAUGGAAUGCCAUACAUCAUGCUAGGCACUGGAAACAAACCAUGAUCAGGACCGACGGAGUCACUGCUCUAUGGAACUCACAGUGUCGAUGCUACAAUCUCUCGUCGAACGCCGUCUGUCUAUACUGACCAGCAAGUCUCAAGGAUCCCCAGGCAGGAUCUGCCUGCCCAGUGCUGGGAUUACAGGUGACAUAGUCUGUUGCUGAACAGGCCGAACAGGCCCUGUGGACACGUUCCAGGUUUGAACCAAUUCUACACUGCUAAGAGGAUAGCAACAAAUGCUUCCAUCACAUCUGCUCCUGACUCUCCAAAUCCAGAAGUACUACCUUGGCACAAACAACAAGAACAAAAACAAGAGCAAAAGAAACUAGAUCUCGACAGACAGUACACAGACUACCUGGCAGACCUGGAAGCCAAUCUCAGGAUGACAUGUCCCUAGCAGAGAAAAGGAACCAAAAGGAAUCAAAAGAAAUCUCCUGAACCAGGAGAUUUAUUUUGGAUCUUGAAUUCUUCUAAACUAUCAUGUCAGAAAAAUCA